AAAAUUAUAUGUCUUGAAUAGCAGUGUAAAGACACAAGUGUCUCAGAUAUCCAGGAGAGCUUUUCCAUUGUACAUGGAAUACAGUGCUACAUUUGUGAGAAAGGUUAUUCCCUGGAAUCCAAUGAAUCACGAACAGCUGAGACCAAGGUUGAUCGGAUUGGGAACAAAAGUUCUAAAGACAAUGUUUGAUACACACCCUGAAGACACCACAUUCCUCUGAAAAGCAAUGCCUUCCAGUGAGUGUAUUCGUUUGCUAGAGAUGCCAUAAAGAAGUACCAGAAACUAUCUUAAGAAGCAGAGAUUUGUUUUCUCAUAGUUUUGGAGGCGAGGCACCCAAGAUCAAGGUCUUAGUAAGAUUUGUUCCUUAGGAGAGGCUUUAAGAGGAAGAUCUAUUCCAGGACUCUCUCCAUGGCUUAUUUUAGGGACCAAUGUCGUGGUAGCUGAAUGUGAGAAUAAAUAUAAAGAGAGCAGAAAACACAGAAGAAAAGCAGGAGUGAAUAAAGGAGAUAAAUAAUAAGAAUUAUUACAUUUGGUUUGGAAGAUGAGAAGAUGUAAUAUCUGGAAAACAGAUGUACUCACAACUGAAAGAAAUAAACAAGUAUGUGUGUUGAUUCUACAACUGCAUGAGAAUAGUAGAGACUACUUCAAAGUUGUUUAACUUAAUAUGGGCAGCAAUGAAAUGGAAUGCCAG
Long non-coding RNA from Heterocephalus glaber (naked mole-rat), 691 nucleotides. Lineage: Eukaryota; Metazoa; Chordata; Mammalia; Rodentia; Bathyergidae. The record is from Ensembl.